Molecule: non-coding RNA, 113 nt
Organism: Canis lupus familiaris (dog)
Lineage: Eukaryota; Metazoa; Chordata; Mammalia; Carnivora; Canidae
Source: RefSeq, marked provisional
CUGUGGGAUGGCUGUCGGAGCCUGCGAUUCGGCGUGUGCGCUGCUGCCAAAGGCCUGGGGGCCCUGGUUGGCUGGGCUUAUGCAGAGCUUGGGGCCUGUCAGAGUGACAUUGU